This is a long non-coding RNA of Venturia canescens, 502 nucleotides long. RefSeq lists it as uncharacterized. NCBI's taxonomy places the organism in Eukaryota, Metazoa, Arthropoda, Insecta, Hymenoptera, Ichneumonidae. The record is from RefSeq and is a predicted model, not a curated record. The transcript has 2 exons.
AGCGUCAUAUCUCCCUUCUCGCUUCCACUCGCAUGCUCAGCCGCAAGCGCUCGCUCCAUCUCUCUUGCUCUUAUAGUAGCAAUACACUGGGGGAACAGGAUGUACCAGCACGAAGAGGAAGAAUCCAAGUUUAACUUUUCAUCGUUUUCCGAAAGACGAAGCAGCGUGAGUCUUGAAUAUUACAGUUAAUGUUACAAUGUAAUCUUCUCGAACAUGAAUAGAGCAAUUUUUUGGUUAAACAUGAAAAAAAAUACUUGAAAUGUUUGCAAUUAGAGUAAGAAAAAGGUAGAAAAAUAGAUUUCCUAAGGUCACGUUUUCCAGUAUAGAGUAUAUAUGAAUAACCAUAUAUGAAUAACCUGCUAGUGUUUCCCGAAUGUUCAACGAUAAAAUAGAAAGCGCCAAAUUUUAUAAAGAAAUCAAUCAUUGAAUGUUGAGACAAUUCGUACAUAUGUAGUUGAAGGAAGUGUCAUAAUUAAACCGGUUGAAUAUGUCUACAUAAUAA